Pelobates cultripes (western spadefoot toad) is the source of this 273-nucleotide non-coding RNA. The record is from the annotation of a GenBank genome assembly. Lineage: Eukaryota; Metazoa; Chordata; Amphibia; Anura; Pelobatidae.
UGGCAUGAAACCAUGUUAUUAUGACGAGAAUAAUUUGAGAAUUCCUAAAGAACUCGUCCAGAUAGAAAUCUUGAAUUAAUAUUUCAUAUUGGAUACUGAAUGGGUUGGAAAUGUCAUGUUUAUAUAAAUAAAGAACAGCUUUCAGAAUAUCCAUAAUAGACCGUGUACGAAGGCGUAAGGUAAAAGAAAAUUCAAGAUUAGUCCAUUCGAAACGCUGCAUUUUCACAAGCCUCUUUUUAAAAUGAUAAUGUUUUUUGCACCAUGUAAAAUCAC